Molecule: non-coding RNA, 578 nt
Organism: Carassius auratus (goldfish)
Lineage: Eukaryota; Metazoa; Chordata; Actinopteri; Cypriniformes; Cyprinidae
Source: the annotation of a RefSeq genome assembly
UUUCAUGUAUCAAAUGUUCACAAGUUUGAAUGUAUGAACCUCUAAAAUGAUGUGCUGCGAUCAAAACCAGUUAAAACUUUUAAAACGUGGAUUCAACAUGGAGGUGUGUCUGCUAGUGAUUCUUAUAAUUUCAGGUGUGUUUGCUGACAGCAUUAAACCAAAUGACAAGGAUACUAAUAUGAUCAAGACAGAAGGAGAGUCUGUGACACUGAGCUGCACAUAUGAUACAAGCAGCAAUUAUGUUUAUCUGUACUGGUACAGACAGUAUCUUAAUAAAGAACCUGAGUUUUUACUGUGGAAAGGUGCUCGAUCAUACAUCGAAAGAAAGAAUAUACCAGACUCUCGUUUUCAGUCGACUACAUCCCAAACAUCCACUGAAAUAACGAUUAAGACUACAACUCUGUCAGAUUCAGCUCUCUAUUACUGUGCUCUGAGAGUAGCAGCCCAGUGAUACAAAAUGCCUUGGUGGCUUUACAAAAACUCAAACACACAAUUAUUGCUUUAAAAGGCAGUAAUCAGAUGUCUAUAAUACCACAUGUACCACUGUGCCACACUGUAAAUAACAGAAUGUGGUAACA